This 358-nucleotide unclassified non-coding RNA is filed under the name soil metagenome. RNAcentral's name for it is "partial contains 5.8S ribosomal RNA, internal transcribed spacer 2, and large subunit ribosomal RNA". The stretch from base 1 to 120 matches the Rfam family "5.8S ribosomal RNA", at positions 35 to 154 of the family's 154-position model. The record is from RNAcentral.
GAUGAAGAACGCAGCGAAAUGCGAUAAGUAAUGUGAAUUGCAGAAUUCAGUGAAUCAUCGAAUCUUUGAGCGCACAUUGCGCCCGUCAGUAUUCUGGCGGGCAUGCCUGUUCGAGCGUCAUUACGCCCCUCAAGUCCCCUGUGGACUUGGUGUUGGGGAUCGGCGAGGCUGGUUUUCCAGCACAGCCGUCCCUUAAAUUAAUUGGCGGUCUCGCCGUGGCCCUCCUCUGCGCAGUAGUAAAACACUCGCAACAGGAGCCCGGCGCGGUCCACUGCCGUAAAACCCCCCAACUUUUUAUAGUUGACCUCGAAUCAGGUAGGACUACCCGCUGAACUUAAGCAUAUCAAUAAGCGGAGGA